CUAAUCGUCGCUGCUAGAUAAUGCUACAGGCUAUUUGUUACCGUUCGCUAUAAGCUAUUUACUACCGUUAGGAGCGAGACCAAAAAAUGAGACUUGCGUGGAUGCUGGUCAUGUCUACGGUCGUACUAGCCACAGAUGCUCAAAAUACCGAAGGCUUCAGGCCCUGCCAAAUUCAACAGCUGAGAGGGAAGCUGCGAUGUGUUGUACCGAGAGAUUACAACAUGCGUCCUGGGGAUUGCCCUGGUAACGACAUCUGGUCCCUUUACAGAGAUCGUACAACCUUGAAGGAAUGUGCACAAUUGUGUUCCACAUCUCCCAGUUGCCAGGCCUUUAUGUUCUACAACAAUCACCGAUGUUACCCCAAGACUAAAACCUGUGCCACUGCAACCAAGACCAACCCCCUAAAUAUGUUUUAUGACAAAGUCCCAAGAGGCUUUGCCAUGAGACCUGGUGAUUGUAGCGGCAAUGAUAUCUGGUCCAUCCACGGAUUCGUCUCCUUGAUGGAGUGCGCCAGACGCUGCAAAGCAAACCCUUCAUGUGUUGCAUUCAUGUUCUAUGAUGGCCGCGAAUGCUACCCUAAGACUAGGACAUGUCGAACGACAGAUACAGCUAAUCCUAAGAAUUUCUUCUACGAUAAGAUAGCCUUUUUGAAAGUAUAACAUACAGUUGUAGCAGCUGUCGGAAGAGAUAGAACGAACUAGCUGACAAACCACAAGAAACUCACACGAAUUUUAGUUCUCAAAAUAUCUAGCUUCGGCCAUGCGAUAAACCGUGUUAGUAUAAUCGCUUUAGUGUAAAAACCCUCCCUAAAUGUCAACAAUGGUAGGUGUUUUUUUUUCCUUUGUCUGGGUCAAGGUAGUUAGUUUUUGUGACAGUGUUCUUCUUUACUGUUGAGUAAAGUAGUCAGAUAAAGGUUUUUCCACCAGAAUAGGGGGUAUCAUCUACUUAGAAAUCCAGUGGAAAAAAUGGGUUGUUUAACUCAAUAAACCUUCCACAGCACAA
Pocillopora damicornis (cauliflower coral) is the source of this 1002-nucleotide long non-coding RNA. NCBI's taxonomy places the organism in Eukaryota, Metazoa, Cnidaria, Anthozoa, Scleractinia, Pocilloporidae. The record is from RefSeq and is a predicted model, not a curated record.